RNAcentral lists this unclassified non-coding RNA (243 nucleotides) under Hevea brasiliensis (rubber tree). The record is from RNAcentral. Lineage: Eukaryota; Viridiplantae; Streptophyta; Magnoliopsida; Malpighiales; Euphorbiaceae.
GGGAUUAAAGCUUAGUUGUUGUUGCUGUGCAGAUUUUCAUCUGCCUUCCCGGUUCAUAUUGAGAAUUAAAUAUCCAGAUCUAACACAUGGAUGCGAAUCCUAAUUCCAGUCUUAAAACUUAAAACAAUAUGAUUUUAGAUCUACAAUUUAUUGAGGGUUUUUUUAGGACCAAAUAUAAAUUUCAUUCAUUGAGAAAGGAAGUUCCCCCAACCAAACCUCAAGAAGAGAAACAAAUAAUCUAUA